This 97-nucleotide transfer RNA is filed under the name Clostridia bacterium. Its description in RNAcentral is "tRNA-Sec". It matches the Rfam family "Selenocysteine transfer RNA". The record is from RNAcentral. Lineage: Bacteria; Bacillati; Bacillota; Clostridia.
GGGAGCAGAUGGGUGCUGGUGUGCCCCCUGGUCUUCAAAACCAGUGCGGGUGGUGAAGAGCUGCCUAGGUGGGUUCGAUUCCCACAUGUUCCCGCCA